RNAcentral lists this RNase P RNA (397 nucleotides) under Longimicrobiales bacterium. RNAcentral describes it as "RNase P RNA component class A". It matches the Rfam family "Bacterial RNase P class A". Rfam says of the family: Ribonuclease P (RNase P) is a ubiquitous endoribonuclease, found in archaea, bacteria and eukarya as well as chloroplasts and mitochondria. Its best characterised activity is the generation of mature 5'-ends of tRNAs by cleaving the 5'-leader elements of precursor-tRNAs. Cellular RNase Ps are ribonucleoproteins. The record is from RNAcentral. Lineage: Bacteria; Pseudomonadati; Gemmatimonadota; Longimicrobiia; Longimicrobiales.
GGCUCGCGAGUGAGGGUCGCCGGCGCCGUUUCGGCGGCGCGGGAGGAAAGUCCGAGCUCCGCAGGGCAGGACGCCGGGUAACGCCCGGGCGCCGUGAGGCGAUGGAGAGUGCCACAGAGAGGAGACCGCCGAUGGCCCGCAUCCGCGCGAGCGGAGGUGGGCACAGGCAAGGGUGAAAGGGUGCGGUAAGAGCGCACCGGGCCGCCGGCAACGGUCGGUCGCACGGUAAACCCCGUCCGGAGCAAGACCAAAUAGGGGACGAGGAGCGGCCCGCUCCGUCCGAGUCCCGGGUAGGUUGCUGGAGGGCGGUCGAGAGGCCGUCCGUAGAGGAAUGACCCUCCUCCGCGCCCCGUCAGGGGAUGGCGGAGACAGAACUCGGCUUAUUCGCGAGCCGUCC